AAAGCUAUAAGAGUUUGACGGUAUGAAAUGUCAUAGUAAAAGAUGUUCAGUAAAUUUUAUAAGAAUAGGUGGUAUGGCAUUGGAAACAUAAACCCGGCCCGUAAAAGGAUUUGGCUGAAUUUUAAAGAUACCGAAAUAACCGAAACAUUCACGGCUGCACCUUAAAGCAGUGGUUGAAACUUCACGCAAUUCCAUGCCAUUUUCUCUUUGCACUACUUGUGUAAAUCCUGUUUAUUUAAAGAAAAUUCAUUUACUGGGAAUGCUUUUCGUUACCAUCUCCAGUGUACAGCCCCCAUCCUGGUGACUCUCAUUGGCCAGCGAACAUUACAAGGAUUCCAGCGAAAAACAUCGCCGAUUACGUUACCACUUCCAGUUGUAGACUCUCGUAUUUGUAGACGAAAAGGUAAACGGCAGGAUUUAUUUCAAAUGCCAGACUGUCUGACGCUGCCGCUUUCGUUUCGCAUAUAUUGCUUUGGCUCUUCCUUACUGCGUUUGGUUAGUUUUUAUCUUCCUUGCUCCAGCCACCUUCACCCAAGACAAUGAUCGACCGAAAGCAUAAUCGACACGUCCUUUGCAGCUUGAACCCAUCUAUUUUACUUGCUGUCCAUUUGCCGUCUCUCGUCUCCGUCCUACAUCAAACGAGAUUGUCCUGGGACACAAUGGAUCCUUGGCAGUCUCUCGUCCUUGCGCACGCUGCGGUCCUUACGAUCAUCGAAAACCGCAUCGUGAAUGCAACAGGCCGACGGCAAAUUGAUCGGUCCGUUUUGGGUUGGUGCUUCUUUUUCUUUACAUUUAUUAUCCUUAAACGAUGCCCAGAGGAGCAGUGCGGCAACACUUACGCGAACGGUCGGUCCAGGCAGGGAAAAGCGACAUCAUUUCCACCGCGUUCCACCGGUGCUACCCACAAUGAGGCUGCGGUGUUGAAGUGGUUCGCACCUUUCAGUUUCAUAUCGGUGCCGGGGGUUUUUCAGAGCAAAGGUUUGUUGAGUUGUUCGUCUCGCUUGGACACACAUUAUAACGAUUGUUUUCCAACUGGCCAUAGCAUACCCUCCCCAUGUGUGCGGUGCGCCAUCCUUCAUAGCGAAGGAAUUGAGUUGUGCCCGCCAUUCGCCACGGAUUAUCUACGGUUGGUUCGUGAGGGAGUCAAAAUCCGUAGCUAAUGCAGCGUAGCGGCAAAGUUUCUCUCAUCUUUUGCCGGUAUCGGGGGAAAAUAGGGCGGUUUAAAAUGGCCCUUCAGAGCAGUGGACAUUCAUUCAUUCCAUUGAUCCGGCACUGAAAGAGGAAUCACAAAAAAAAAUCAACUCCUAAUCCGUGCCUCAGGGCAGGGGCGAUUGGAAGAACCAGCAAUGCAGGAGGAAUGUUACGGAAAGUGCAUUGAUUUGGGGAAUUUCAACGUCAAAACCAUUUCACACCUUUUCAGUGGCUGUCUCACUCUUGAUGGCGAAUGAAAUGAUCCGGAAUAGGAUUAACCAUUUUGGCAAACCAAACAAAAAUCUUAAUCCCUUCGUCGAUCUACCUACCGUCGGGGGAAAGAGUGUUGCUUGUGCAAAACUGAUCGAAACUUUGCACGUUGCCUGCCACGCACCCAAAAGUUUCAUUUUUGGUUACGGUUCAAUGGGAAUGGUUGUGAAAGGAGUUAUGCUAAUAUUUGUUUCAAUUUGUCCCUUACUCGUGCCAUGCUUGGUUUCGGAUGAAGUAAGAAAUUCAAUCGGUACCCAUGCUAGAAGCCACAAAGCACAUGGCGAUGAGAUCAAUUAACAUGUCACACAGGAGUUGAUUUGGGACGAAAUUCAUUCAUUGUUCGGUGCAAAAUAAUGUAUGAAUUAAAUGCGUCGCAUGGUGUAGAGCAGGAGUCUCCAAACUACGGUCCUUGAGAGCCUAUAAUGCGACUCGCGAUGAUUUUGCAAAGAAUAACAAAAAAUCUAUUAUUUUAAUAAUUUA
This is a long non-coding RNA of Anopheles gambiae (African malaria mosquito), 1941 nucleotides long. RefSeq lists it as uncharacterized. The record is from RefSeq and is a predicted model, not a curated record. The transcript has 2 exons. NCBI's taxonomy places the organism in Eukaryota, Metazoa, Arthropoda, Insecta, Diptera, Culicidae.